This 30-nucleotide non-coding RNA is filed under the name Rattus norvegicus (Norway rat). Lineage: Eukaryota; Metazoa; Chordata; Mammalia; Rodentia; Muridae. The record is from RNAcentral.
UAGGGUGCUGUUUUGUCCUAAUGAUGAUGU